Molecule: non-coding RNA, 458 nt
Organism: Oncorhynchus mykiss (rainbow trout)
Lineage: Eukaryota; Metazoa; Chordata; Actinopteri; Salmoniformes; Salmonidae
Source: RefSeq, a predicted model, not a curated record
CCUGAAGGCCAUGGGAAGACCAAAAGGAGCCAACCCGACUAAGCGCUGCGGAGAAGCAGGGGCGCUCUCGCGUUCGACGCGAUGCCGUGUCCAGAGAGGAGAGAGAGAUACUUCAAAAAAGAACAGCAGAAAUACUGGGAGGACAUAGCAUCAGGCAGGAAGUGGAGAGAGACUUACGACAGGAUCAAGUCCAGGAAAGUAGCCCUAAAGCACUUCACCACACCUCCAGAGAGCCCCCCGGCUUUCACCAGACAGAGCUGAUAAUCCAGAGCCAAGCACUUCCAGAGGAAGAUGGAGAACCCAUACUGUGCAGAGGCAGGAGCCAGACACACAUGCUGCAGGGGGAGGAGCGAUACUCACACCUUCUCUCUCUUUCUCUCUCUCUCUCUCCACCGCCCACCCCACCCCGCACACACAAGCACGCACUCACAUACAUGCACACACACUCAUGCGAAAGC